This 75-nucleotide transfer RNA is filed under the name Pohlia nutans. RNAcentral describes it as "tRNA-Met". It matches the Rfam family "tRNA". Rfam says of the family: Transfer RNA (tRNA) molecules are approximately 80 nucleotides in length. Their secondary structure includes four short double-helical elements and three loops (D, anti-codon, and T loops). Further hydrogen bonds mediate the characteristic L-shaped molecular structure. tRNAs have two regions of fundamental functional importance: the anti-codon, which is responsible for specific mRNA codon recognition, and the 3' end, to which the tRNAs corresponding amino acid is attached (by aminoacyl-tRNA synthetases). tRNAs cope with the degeneracy of the genetic code in two manners: having more than one tRNA (with a specific anti-codon) for a particular amino acid; and 'wobble' base-pairing, i.e. permitting non-standard base-pairing at the 3rd anti-codon position. Lineage: Eukaryota; Viridiplantae; Streptophyta; Bryopsida; Bryales; Mniaceae. The record is from RNAcentral.
UGUCGGAAUAGUUUAGUCGGUUAGAACAGCGGGAUCAUAAUUCGCACACGGGGGUUCAAAUCCCUCUUCCGAUAG